Molecule: ribosomal RNA, 301 nt
Filed under: uncultured bacterium
Lineage: Bacteria
Description: partial 16S ribosomal RNA
Rfam family: Bacterial small subunit ribosomal RNA
Source: RNAcentral
CAGUCGCCGCGGGAAUACAGAGGGUGCGAGCGUUAAUCGGAUUUACUGGGCGUAAAGCGUGCGUAGGCGGCUUCUUAAGUCGGAUGUGAAAUCCCUGAGCUUAACUUAGGAAUUGCAUUCGAUACUGGGAAGCUAGAGUAUGGGAGAGGAUGGUAGAAUUCCAGGUGUAGCGGUGAAAUGCGUAGAGAUCUGGAGGAAUACCGAUGGCGAAGGCAGCCAUCUGGCCUAAUACUGACGCUGAGGUACGAAAGCAUGGGGAGCAAACAGGAUUAGAUACCCGAGUAGUCCCUGUCUCUUAUAA